GUUCUUGAGAGCUCUCUUUCUUCCUCUUUCUUUUUUUUUUUUAUUUUCUUUCAUCCUUUCCCCCUUUUCUCUUAGCACUUCGUCCGCGAGUUUCUUUCCCUUUAUCCCAUCAAAACACACAAACUUAAAGGUCACACACAACACACCAUUGAUUCUCAUCAAACGAAGAUAGAGAGAGGGGGAAAUCGCCAAGGGAGAAAUGGGUCAGAUUGGUGCUUGAUCUCUGCCUUCACCGCCACCUGUCUUCCUCAACACGCCUCCGUUGUCUGCUGAUCUGCUCUGUUAAACUUCUACUAAUAUUCAAUUGCAUAUUGAGAUUUCUUGUCCCUGUGUAACACUUUUCUUUUCUUUUCUUUUUUGUCACUGUCCGUCGUAUAUAAUAAUGUUUUCUUUUUUCCUUACCGGCAUUUGGGUCUGUGGUUCAUGCUGAAGAAAUUUACAAAAGACAUCUUGCCUGGUUCAGAUGUUGAUUUUGCUUUAUGAUUUGCACACCUACGUAUAAUUGAAUUUAGAAAAAGAAACGUAAUCAAAAAGUGAAUUGAAGUUUGCAAAAAUUUUAUUUUUUUCCUGUUUGGUAGUCAAAGAAUGAGAGGAUAAUUAAUGGGUAACUAUUCAAUAUUUAUACUAUUCUCGUGUGAGGAGCUAAUAUUAUCCCAAAAUAUUAUAAUUUUUCAAUGGGAUUGUGUUAUAAUUUAGUAUGCACCAACACUUUCUUUGAAUUUUCAUUGUAUCAUUUUUUGGUGCAAAGGACACAUGUUUAUAUAUAUAUAUAUAUAGUUCAUGUUAUAUAUAUAUAUAUAACAUGAACUAUCCUGCAGAACGUAGAUCAACUGUCUCACUGGUAGUCAUACUUCUUAACCUGAAUUUACAACAAAAUUAAGUGAAGUUUAAAUUAUGUUACUAAAAAAAAAAAAAACAUUGAGCCUGACACAAAAUUCAAAGUAAUAAAUACAAACAAAUGUCAUGACUCAUUAGUCUUGUAAUUCAGUAAAGUUUAAAUGUUUACAAUAUAUGAUUUUAAGUCUUAAUAGGCCUUGUUAAAAGGUGAACUAUUGCAUAUUGCUUUUGUUUGCUGUAUCAACUAAAGAUUCACUGUCACUGACAGUGAGACAUUGAGUCUUACACAUAAAUGUUUUAUAUUGUAAUAUAGGACAUAGAUUCUGAAUCUACACCCCCUUUAAGCUAUUUCCAAUUCCCAUGGUAAAUAAUAUGCUUAAGGACUUAUGCAGUGUUAAGAUCUAGAUAUAAUUAAAAUUUGCCUAUAACCUUGGAUGUUUUAUUUCUGUCCAAAGAACAAGUUUUACUUUACUAAUUGUCACUUGAAAGUUGUGAUUCAACAAAGUUGGUGAUCUGAGAUAGGUCUUGUAUUAGCCAAUGGCUGUUGGGUUUAAUGUCACUUCCACCUCCUACAAGAAUGGGAUGGUGGGUGAGAUUGCAGGUUCAAAUGUCGAUGGGUUUGUGGUUUAAUUGCUUAGCAAACACUUAUUAGAAAUAGUCUUAUAUAAUGCUGCAGCUGCUGCUUUUGCUGUUGGUGUUUUGUGUGUGUGUUUUCAUUUUCCUUUUGCAAAUGAUCCUUGGAUCAAAUUCCAUCUGCUCCCUACCUAAAUAAGAGGUGGAGGAUAGCUUAUGGGUUGAAUCCCAUGCAGGUGUGUGAGUUCUAGUUACCCAUAUAAAACAAGUGUUUUCCUUUUCCUUUUAUGCUAGUUUUUAUUUUCCUAGUCAAAAAGAUAAUUUUGUUUUGCCUUUUUAGGCUUAUCAAAGAGUUCGAUAGACAAGCCAAGGAUUUGGAGAGUAGAAUGAUCCAGACGCUAACAAGAUGCAGAAUGAUAAAAAAAAAAAGUCAAUGAUCAAAGAGUUGAAUUCAUAUGUUGCUCUUAAAAAGCAUUCCAAGCGGGAUUUGGUUGGGCUUUGAAAGGCUUGUGCAAUUUGCUACACGAAUAGAGAAUAUAAGAGGCACAAUCCUUUUCCCUCAGACGCCUGGUUCAGUUGAAUUUUAAUUGUGAAGUUGUGCAUUUUUUUUUUUUCUCUUAUUGUAGUCAACCACAGCAUCAUUUUUUUACCUGUCCUGCUCCUCAUCCUUAAGUAAAUUCAAUUUGAAUCACCUUCUCUGUUUAACACUUAAAUGCAUCAAAACUUCAAACUAUAUAGGAAGGCUGCCAAAAACGAAAAAAAAAAGAAAAAAAAAAGAAAAAGAAAAAAAGAAGAAGAAGUAGAAGGACCAAUGCUUGGAUUAUCUUCUGGUCAAUGUUGCCUAACCUGAAAAAUGUUGAUAAUUGUGAAGUGAUCAUAUAUUUAUCCGGAAGUUAU
This is a long non-coding RNA of Quercus lobata, 2307 nucleotides long. RefSeq lists it as uncharacterized. NCBI's taxonomy places the organism in Eukaryota, Viridiplantae, Streptophyta, Magnoliopsida, Fagales, Fagaceae. The record is from RefSeq and is a predicted model, not a curated record. The transcript is spliced from 3 exons.